AACACGUGGGUUCAUUUAACACACUGUAAAAGAGUCAUUUCAGCUGAGUACUCAAAUAGGAAAGGUGAGCAAAAGUCUGAUAACGGAGCGGGAGCCGUGGUAAUCUGAAAACGCUUGCUGGUCAGUGAAGAAAAAAGACACCAACCCUUUUAGUGAGAACUCAGCAGAAAGGCACACCCACGUUGGUUAUGAGAUUCGAUAGGUUGUUACGUAGGAACUUUGGCUACUAUGGUGUUGGUUUUGUUUAUGUGGUACAUGGGACGUCCCACCCUAAAUGAUACAACUAAUUUUUUAGAUAGAAAAUCACCUACCAACUGGACCAAUAUGACGAAAUUUUGAAUCAUUAACUCUUAUCAAAAGGAGUACAGCUGAUGAUCAGGACUGUGGGCAUGGCCUCCAAACGCGGCAAACCGGUUUAAUAUUUUGUGCCCCCCAAAAUCAAACUGCUUUAAUCAUAAUUCCAUAUGCGGCUCUCACCAAUGAUGCUCAAGAGAAUGGGCAGAAUUGGGGAUUUGGAUAUGACUGGUAUGCAACUAUAGGCUUUGGAUGGGAACACCUCAUUGGUGUAACAGGUUAUGAUUGGUCCAGUUGGUAAAAAAAAAAACAGCAAAAGAACAUAGAAAGAAGUUUAACAUAAGCAAAACGGCCCAUAGUUUAAUAUUGAAAUACAAAUCAAGUCACCCAGUGUGUUUGAUGAUGAGCUUGUGGGCAUAUUCUGACGGAAAAGAUCCCCAAUUCCGAGUAGCAUUGUGUUAUGGGAACCGUGUUAAACCAGAAAUGCCAUGGAAAACUUCAAAGAAAGGUGGACAAAUUUUAAUGGUUAAAAACAUAACUACCGAUGAUUGGUUCCUUGUUGUCACAGGAGUUUCAGGACAAAAUAACAAUUGGUAUAGUUCCGGCAAAAUUAUCACAAGAUUGUAUUAUUCCAUUAAUGAACGCUACUGUACCAACUGAGAGGUGUAAAUCAUGGGAUCCUAUAUAUCCCGUAACAAAAGCAGAUAAACACAAACCAAUGUUUUCUACUUUAGUAGCACCAAAUAAUUUCACUUGUAUAAACAUGAUUAGUAAAGGCAAAAAAUUAGGACCACUCAACGACACACAGUGUAAAGUAACCUUAAAAGUCGGACCAAAGUUUAUGCCAGUAUCACGGAGCGACAUCUGGUGGUGGUGCGGAGAUGAUAGACUGUUUGAUAGAUUAGCUAAAGAUAUAUCUGGAUUGUGCGCUAUUAUCACUUUGAUAUUCCAUGUGUCAGUAUACCCUAUGCCUGUUCAAGAUUUAAUGGAAAGGGCACCAAUGUUUUUGUCCAAUCUAGAACAUAGACAAAAAAGAGAUUUAUCCUGGCAGAGGCAAAAUUAUCCAACAUAAAACAUACAUCGACGCCAUAGGUGUUCCUCGUGGGGUUCCUAAUCAAUACAAAUUAGCUGACCAAGUUGCAGGAGGAUUUGAAUACUUCAUAUGCUGGUGGUGUACGAUUAAUAAAAAUGUUGAUGGGAUAAACUAUAUCCACUUCAAUGUACAGAGAUUAGGAAAUUGGACUCAGAGUGGGUUGGAAGCUGUGCAUGAGCAGCUCAAGGACGUUCCAAGACCGCAUAGCUGUCGACAUGCUCCUCGCAAGAGAGGGAGGUGUUUGCGGUAUGUUUGGAGAACAAACAAUACUGCUUCAGAUGGCAGCUUGACCAGAGCCAUCGAUGGUCUACGGACCCUCAAUCAACACUCCUUGUGGGACAGCUGGAUGGACGUUUUUGCAAUUACCCACAUGGAACCGUAUGGAGCAGAUUAUUAUGGACGACUUUGAGAAAGGGAGAUGUCUCGCCUUCAAGAAGAUGACUCAGCAGGAAUCAUCAGAGAGAAGGACGUGGCCGG
Molecule: long non-coding RNA, 1864 nt
Organism: Phyllopteryx taeniolatus (common seadragon)
Lineage: Eukaryota; Metazoa; Chordata; Actinopteri; Syngnathiformes; Syngnathidae
Exons: 3
Source: RefSeq, a predicted model, not a curated record